CGGGCACCGACCCUGGCUGGGGUUGCUGGGCACCAGCACUCAUCACAAUAAAAAACCCACAGUGAAGAUGGGUCAGGGGUUUGCACUGCGCCGGGUCUGCUCAUCCCCAAAGCCACGGUUUUCCCAUCGCAGGUGGUCUGGAAGCACCGGACGGCGCGCGUGUGGGGUGGCCAGUGACGGGCUGCCACGGAGGUGUGCAGACCUGCAGGCCACAGACAUUCCCAGAGAGCCCCUGUGUGCAAAACAUGGACACACGGAUGUUUGUGAAGCUCUGGGAUGGUGUUUAGCAGGAGGAGUAACGGGGUCUUCAGAGAAUCAAUAAAAUAAAUGCAGCACCUGUUGGGUUAUUGAAACCAGUUGUUAUUAGGAAGGGAUUUAGGGCAGCUGAUGAAGAAACAGGAAGACAACAAAACUAAAUGUCCAAGAAUGAGGAAGCCGAGGAAGAAAGCAGCCGCCGUGUGGAGCCGCCCAGAGACCAGCACUUACCUGUGUCACUGUGCGGGGAGGGCAGGGUCUCGCCAGCAGCCGGUGGCACAUGCGGGCGGCACAGGGGCUGCGUGGUGGCCUCUGUGAUGUCACCUGGCAGAGGUGCCUGAGCUGGGCCUGGCGUGGAGGGCAUAGGCCUCACUCUCUGACUGCCUGACAGUCCCUACAGUGAGCGGGACCCCCUUAUUAAGGCUGUGGGGCAGAGUGGGGUGACAGGUGUUGAGGGGUGGGGCCCAGCCCCGGGCACCCGCAUGUUCCUCUCUGCCCCUGGGAGAAGUGUUGAGAGACGGAGCUCGGGAUCAGCUGGCAUAUCCACCAUGUUCCAGGGUCGACCAGGGAGCACAGAGCCCUGAACAUCCCUUCAACAGCGCGCCACACACUCCCGGCACAAACUCCAGACCACAGCACAGCACCCAGACGGCUGCAGCCACGCAGAAACCCACAACUGCCAGGACCGUGGGGUGACAGCCACGGUGGGCUCUGCAGGCCCCUCUGGUCUAAGAUACCAGAAGGCCACAUCCAGCAACCAAGGCCACCGGGCAGGACACGUCAGGAUGGAGGUGCAGUGAAGACUGCGGUGGACGCCCCCAGAGGUUCCCACGUGGCUUCCAGUAGAGGCUCUGCCAAACCCGGCCUGUGCAAGGGCAGAGACAAGGCCCAGCAGGGCUCGAGCAGGCCCAAACGCACGACGCAGCUGCUGUGCCUGGGUCUGAGCUGCACCCACAGUUUUCCUGGCGUCUUGUCCUCUGGAUGGGCCUCUGGAUGAACAUAAACUCCAGGGAGGCUGCAUAGAAUAUGCAGCUCUUCUUUAACGCUCCCUAGAGGAAGAAAGCCCCUCAGCAGGAAGUAUUGUUGACGUCGCCGCCACUACUAAUGAAAUAUUUACUGAAAAGCCAAAGCGAAACAUUUUUCUAGUUAAUUAAAACAGUGCAUCUUUCAAGCAAGCUCCCUCGAGGGGCCAGGCUCGGACGGACCCAAGCGGGCAGGCAGCCCGAGGUGCUCCUGAGUGGGGUCUCGACUGGGAAGGGGGCACCCAGGACGCAGGUGGGGUUCCUGCCGCACGACACUGAGGGGUGGGGGGACAGACGCUGCAGAGACCCUGUGAAAGGCCCCUCCCGAUGGGUAAACUCACACUUGGUACACGCUGGCAGGGGCAUCUGGGCCUGCACUCUGGAAUUGGUGGUGGUCCUGGGAAGGUUUUUUGGGCCAGGGACAAGAGUACUUGGGUUUGCUUUCUGGAAAAAUGAAAAAAGAGAAGUUUCUGUGUUCUCUCAGCUGUGUUAAACGCUGGCAGAAGUUGCCUCUCGGACCCUCCGCAGGGCUAUGACAGGCUGGAGAAGUGGGGGCUCGGGAGGGAGCUCAAACAGCCUGCAGACUCCGCCGCAGAGUCCGCACCCCUGGAAGGAGGCGUCGCGGAAGGCACUGCACCCACGCAUGGCUUCGAGGGCAGGAGGCAGGUUGCACAGCGAGGGGUCACAGGCUCCUCUGUCCCAGGUGGGACUGGGCGAUCCCAGACACGUGUGCUGUGGCCUCUGGGCCUCAUGCGGAGAGCAGAUGCCAGGGCCUGCAACUCUGACCUCUGAGCACACAGGCCGGCCUCAGGGAAGGGUUGUUCUGGCUGUGGGAACCUGAACUCAAAAUGGCCUCCGUUUGCUGCAGACACUGCCCGCCUGCGCCGGGGACUCAGCCCAGGCAGCUUUGCACACACCUCAGCACCACCCACCCUCAGGCCUCAGCCGCGCUACCCAGCGGGCGCUUUUGCCCAGAACGCCUGCUCAGAACACCGUGAGCCACUGCCCGGCGCUGAGCCGGGGCCUCCAGAACGUGAACCAAGCGGCUGCAGCCCAGGCCCAGGGCCACCGGCAUCGCCCCAUGGCAGCUGCAGGACCUGGAGUGGGCAGGGUCCAGGCCAGGGAGCGGGGUAGCCCUCACCCAGGAACUCUGCCCCAGGGGGUCUCUUCCUAAAAGUGCUGGAGUUGAUGGAUCUGGUUAGAGCAGCAGAGCCCAGCCCACGGCUCUCCAGGAGUCUGGGGCCCUCAGUGAGGUCUGUCGAUGGGGACUAGGAACUGGGGAGAGUCAGGUGGAAGGGAAUGUUCCAGAAUGCCUAUUUGAGAGACUCAGAACAAACGUGUUUCUUGUCCUUUGUGCCGUGGCCGGGCAUCGUGGAGAAGCUGCAUCCAGGGCGGGCCCAGCCAGGCAGCGCCUGCCUCCCCACUGCCAGCCCCUGAGAUGGUCUCAUCCGCUGGGCGAGCAGGCCAGGGCUGCCCGUCUCCACCUUUGUGCUGGACCAUUUACAAUCAAAGUGCAGCAUCGAGAUACCCAGGAAAGAGCCAGGAACAGGCCAGGAAGCUGCUGCCCCACCACUGACCCCGCCGCUCUCCUUCCCUCCUUCCUUCCCGCUGGGCCGGGCACAGGUGGAGCUCACCGCCGUCCCCCUUCAUCCCUCGGCCCCUCCAAGGCUCAAGGACUGGAGGCCGACUGGGCAGCAGACACGUCACCAUCACCACGCUCCCCGUCGCCAUGGUCACUGUCACCACGCUCCCUGUCACCACAGUCCCCGUCACCACGCUCCCCGUCGCCACGCUCCCCCUCGCCACGCUCCCCGUCGCCACGCUCCCCCUCACCACGCUCCCCCUCGCCACGCUCCCUGUCGCCACAGUCCCUGUCGCCACGCUCCCUGCGGGUCUCCCCAUCCCCCGUGCAGCUGAGGGGGCCGCGUGCGGUUCUCUGAGUCUUUGGAAUGUGCAGGCACCUGUGAGGCAACGCCACCUUGGAAAAAUUUGCACGGUUCUGGCCGGGGCUGCCAGCCUCCAAGGACAUCUUGAGGCCAGCAAGGAGGGGUCCAACCAUUUCUCAUGUAUGGCCACACACCACUUCCGUUCACAGAGACCCUAGCCACUCCGGGCGCCAGGUGCUGACGUGCCACAUGGGCAUCUAGUAGACACAGAUGCCGUAUGGGGGUCUGGUAGACACGGAUACCGUAUGGGGGUCUAGUGGACACAGAUGCCGUAUGGGGGUCUAGUGGACACGGAUAUGCCGCAUGGGGGUCUGGUAGACACGGAUGCCGCAUGGGGGUCUGGUGGACACGGAUGCCGCAUGGGCGUCUGGUGGACACGGAUGCCACAUACGGGUCUAGUAGGACAGCGGGACCCACAGGGAGCGUGGUGACAGGGACCGUGGUGACUGGGACCGUGUGCAGGGACCCGCCCUCCUGCUGCUGCAUCAACGUUCGGGGGUGGGGGGGCACCAGGUGCUCAGGGAGACCCGGCGGAGCCUCCACCUCCCAGGCCCAGGGGCCGCGUCCUCUUUGUCAGCCGGGGAUCAUCACAGCCAGGGGGCUCUCCCCCGCCGGAGCCAGAGUCCAGAACGCGCUCCAGAAGCCGCGACAUGUCUGGUGCCCCGGGACUGUCUCUGGUGUCCGCAGCUCUCGUUUGGGGAGAAAAGGAUUUCUCUGCUGAAUGCUCUUCCCCCACAUUAAAAUCCAGGUUGUUGAUCUGAUUCUUAGCACCAUGAUUUU
Molecule: long non-coding RNA, 4003 nt
Organism: Pan troglodytes (chimpanzee)
Lineage: Eukaryota; Metazoa; Chordata; Mammalia; Primates; Hominidae
Exons: 3
Source: RefSeq, a predicted model, not a curated record